RNAcentral lists this ribosomal RNA (253 nucleotides) under uncultured bacterium. RNAcentral's name for it is "partial 16S ribosomal RNA". It matches the Rfam family "Bacterial small subunit ribosomal RNA", at positions 524 to 776 of the family's 1533-position model. The record is from RNAcentral.
UACGUAGGGUCCGAGCGUUGUCCGGAAUUAUUGGGCGUAAAGAGCUCGUAGGCGGUUUGUCGCGUCUGCUGUGAAAUCCCGAGGCUCAACCUCGGGUCUGCAGUGGGUACGGGCAGACUGGAGUGCGGUAGGGGAGAAUGGAAUUCCUGGUGUAGCGGUGAAAUGCGCAGAUAUCAGGAGGAACACCGAUGGCGAAGGCAGGUCUCUGGGCAUUAACUGACGCUGAGGAGCGAAAGCAUGGGGAGCGAACAGG